UACGAAGGGGGCUAGCGUUGCUCGGAAUCACUGGGCGUAAAGCGCACGUAGGCGGAUUGUUAAGUCAGGGGUGAAAUCCUGGAGCUCAACUCCAGAACUGCCUUUGAUACUGGCGAUCUCGAGUCCGGGAGAGGUGAGUGGAACUGCGAGUGUAGAGGUGAAAUUCGUAGAUAUUCGCAAGAACACCAGUGGCGAAGGCGGCUCACUGGGGCUUUUCUGACGCUGAGGAACGAAAGCCAGGGUAGCGAACGGG
Molecule: ribosomal RNA, 253 nt
Filed under: uncultured bacterium
Lineage: Bacteria
Description: partial 16S ribosomal RNA
Rfam family: Bacterial small subunit ribosomal RNA
Source: RNAcentral